RNAcentral lists this ribosomal RNA (252 nucleotides) under uncultured bacterium. Its description in RNAcentral is "partial 16S ribosomal RNA". It matches the Rfam family "Bacterial small subunit ribosomal RNA", at positions 524 to 776 of the family's 1533-position model. The record is from RNAcentral.
UACGUAGGGGGCAAGCGUUAUCCGGAAUCAUUGGGCAUAAAGGGUGCGUAGGCGGCCCUGUGGGUCAGAGGUUAAAGGCUACGGCUCAACCGUAGUAAGCCUUUGAAACUGCAGGGCUUGAGUACAGGAGAGGAGAGUGGAAUUCCUAGUGUAGCGAUGAAAUGCGUAAAUAUUAGGAGGAACACCAGUGGCGAAGGCGACUCUCUGGACUGUAACUGACGCUGAGGCACGAAAGCGUGGGGAGCGAACAGG